GACCUCCCAAAGUGUUGGGAUUACAGGUGUGAGCCACCACACCUGGCUCACAGCAUCAUUUUUCAAGGGUCUCUAGGGUGACCACGUGUCCUGGUUUGCCAAGGACAGUCCCAGUUUCCACCUGCUGUCCUGGUACAAUCAUGAAUAUUGUCCCUUUCAGUUUCAGAAGUGUCAUAGUUUAUACAGUAAAUUACCUGACCACCCUAAUAUGCCCCAUGUUUCUUGAAUCUAGGCUGCUGAUAAAAUUCACAUUUUCUGUCUCUCAGUCUAGUGUUCUUUACACUAAGCGUCCACAAAGGAAGCAAUAUUGGCCAACAAUUAAUCUUGGGUCUUUGGAUUAGGACGUUAAGAGUCCUACCUUCAGAGCAUUUUCCUUCUGGAGUGGACUUUGCACAAAUGGUAGGGUGAUUUGUGGAGUCAGUGAAGAACCAGGCUAACCCAGCUUGUUUUACUGGCCCAAAUUUUUCUUCCCAGAGCCAUAAACCAGUUAUUACCAGGAAACAAAGGCGAACAAGCAAGUAUUUCGUUUUAAAUUGUUAUUAAGGAGAAACAUCUAGAAUCAAAUCUCACCACAUAAACCCAAAUCACCCCCAAAGUUAAGGGGAUCUAAAAUAAUACAAUGGAUGCUGUUUUUAUAAAGAUUAUGGGAAAGCCUUAACAGGUAAGUUGCUGUACCUUCACACGAAGAAAACAGCAGGUUAUUAUGCUUUUGUUAAAACAAGUGACCAACUACUACAUCAUCUCUAAAUCAUUCCAGAAUUAAGAUAAGUCCUAAAAAAAAAAUGUGACUCUGAUGAGUGCAUUUUAGAUUUGCUUGAAUGAGGGAGCAGUUAUUACUUGCUGCUAAAAUGCUCUGGAAACAUUUGGUGCAUACUCCAAAAGAAUGCAAAUAGGCCUAAGGAGGGAAUGAUGCAUAAUAUGAACACUGGCAAAGGGCCUUACAAGAAUGUACGCUGUGGAGAAUGUGACCAGUGCUUUACAAACCAUCAGUUCAUAAAGUUGGGUACAUGUGAUGGAAAGAAAAAGACUUGCCUUGACCAACAGCAUCAGUCCAGCUGCACUAAACUCGAUGUGAAAAAAAUCCAGAAGUUUAAGAGUGCUUUGAAGCCCUUCAACAAUCAAAAUGAGAGAAUGUUAAUGAGAUCCUUUUUUCUGUCCAGUACAUUUAAUUCAGGAGACCUAUUAACCCUAUGUUCUUGAAUAGUGAUUGCGAAUCAACCACUGAGUCUUCAGUGUACUUGUAUGUCCUAUAACCUGAAUUUUUGAGUCAGAUACUUUUAACAUUCAUUUUAGAUGGAUGAUACAAGCAUACCUACAGGAAACUAUAUCUUAAUUCAAGUUCUGCUCAGUACUAGUGGCCCAGAAGAUAAACUUAACGGGUGUUCCAAAAUGAAACACAAAAAUAAAAGCUAAUUCUAGGAUGGAACAACUUGGGAAACAUGUUCAUAUGUUUCCUGUAGCAGUAAAACAGGACUCUUCACUGCAGCAUUGUGUGAAGCAUGCAAUAUAUAUAUAUAUAAAUAAAGGGGAUUUUAAAGAGGAUGAGAGGGUUUAAGAGAGGAUGUGGCCUAAUUUUCAGGUUUCUUCAUGCUCGUUUGAUCACUGAUUCCUCACACUCCCCCACCACAUAAGUCCUGGCUUUUUUGCUAACCAUCUAUUCUUAUAUGCAGAGACACUUCCAUUCCGUAGAAUACAGUUUAAUACAGAAAAUGCUGGCCAAAAGGACUUACAAAAGGCACAGAUAGCAGAUUUGAAGUGCUCUGGCAAGCAACUUUGUGUCUCUAAUAUAUUCCCAAACCGGAAGAAGCUUUGCAAUUACUGCCAAAAUGUCUCAGAGGGCAUUAGGUUAAUCAAAGCUGGAGAGGACUGGAAAAAGAGGCAGCUGCUAGACACUGAGAAGCACUCCAUUUGCUAUGAGAUACUUGCCUCAUUUGUAACUGCAGGAUUUUAGUUUAUGGAGGUGACUGAAUGAUGACGCAGAGAGGUCAACACUAGUGAAAGAAGAGGUUUCUUACUUACAUUUCCUGAGAGGAGGGGACAUGCCACAACACACAGGGUCACAGUGGAAGCACCAGGAUGGUCAAGAGACCAGAAGAUCCGUGCUGGCACGCCGUUCUGACACAGGCUGUGAGAGAGUCGACAUUCUCAGAGCAAAUGCCACACGUGGAAGAUGGAGGAGCGUCGUGUGAAGGAAAAAUCUUCAAAGAGAGAUGAAAGGAACUUUACUUCUACCUUCCAUUCAUUGCUAGGGUCCUCUUAUCUUUCAUAAGAAACUACAUCACCUUUUGAUUAAAAUCUCCAGAGAUGUGAACUCACCUCCGCCAAAUAGAAGUCCCGUAUGUGGAUAGCUUUCUGGUUUAACACAUUUCCCUGUGUUUCACUAUUUUGCUUUCCUAAGAGCUUGGUGUUGCCCCACUGAGCAAGGCUGACUCUUUCUUGUGAAGGCCCUUCAAAUAUGGGGGGUUAGUUAUACUGUCUAUCCUGUGAGAUAUUUCCAAGCUGAAUCACACCUUUCCCCAGGAUUGUGGCCCCAUGUGCGAUUCGGAUCUUCAGACCACCAGUGUCCCCUGCAAUCAGGCUUGCAUAUUGAUGCUAGAUUUACUGAAAAACAGCUUUACCUUUGCCAAUCAUUUGUUGAAAAAUCAACAAAGUGUUCCUGUUAUAGAAAAACACAUUUCCUGCUAAGACAUUUUUUUUCCGCUCCAACGGCUCUUUGAUUGGCUUAUAACCUGGGUCUCUAUUUCUCAAUAAAGCCAUCUCCUCCUCUGAUUAGGCAACCUUCACAGUGGUACCUCCAUUUACUUUGCUCAUCUCAGCUUCUCACCAUAUGCAUCCUGGGGUUCCUCAUAUGGCAAGCUUUAUGUUGCUUUCUCCAAAAUCAUAAUUUUUUGGUAAGCUUAAAUAUCACCUUUUUCAUAAAGCCUAUCCUGAACAACAUUAACCUCAAUUAUAUGACAUGUGUCUUGAAUGUGUCUCAUAAGUGAAUGUCUUAGGUCAGCUUCCUCAGGAAACAAACUAUGAAACAGAGAUUUGCAUGCAGGAUGGUUAUGGGGAGUAGUCUCAAAUGCAAACCUGAGAGGAAGUAAAGGAAGGAUUGGAUACAGGGUAAAUUUGAAUUGUGAUGUUGUUGCAACAGAAGCUUCAGCAAAGUCAUGGAGCACCCGGAGCUGGGAUUGCCUAUUUAGGUGGGGAGGCCAGACCUUCUAUUGCUGUAUGGACCCAUCACUGGAUGUGGGCUGCCUUGUGUGAGAAGCAAAAUCUUGAGCCAGAAGCUUUCUUUUGCAGAGAACAAUUUCUGGGAAGGAACUAGCUGUAAGUUCUCAGCAAGCAAUACACCCAGCAGCUGGGAAGAUAAAGAUGAGUGUCUCAGCUUUGAGGUGGAGUCUGGGUGGCAAUCCUUAACAUGAACAACAUGCAGUUAAGAACAACCCAGCUUGUGCUUAUCUGGAUGUACAAGAACUUCAGGAGCAAACUUUCCCAGUGCCAUUGACUGGGCUUAUUUGGUCUGAUGACUGGAGUCCUGCUGUUAGCUAGGAUGAGGGAAGUGCAUUAUUACAGUGUCUUUUCUGCUAUUUUGAUACACUUGGCAACAAUGUGGGACCCUUAUUUAAAAGUGCAAGUGUCCUUAUAAAAGAGACCCCAGAAAGAUUCCUAACCCCCCUUACCAUGUGAAGACACAGAAAAAGGCAGCCAUCUGUGAUCCAGAAAGCAGACCCUCACCAGAUACCAAAUCUGCCAAUACUUUGACUUUACACUUCCAGCCUCUAGGACAACAAGCAACUAAUUUCUGCCUGUUUAGGAGCCACCCAGUCUAUGGCAUUUUGUUAUAGCAGCUUGACCAGACUAAAACAAUGACUCGUAUAUAAGGAAAAUCAACGUUUAGCAAGUCAUUUUUAUGGCAAUGACCCCUCACUCAAGGAUAUUCAGCAGAUAAUUGCAGAAGGAUAUAGGAACUCACCUCUGUCUGCAACAGUUCUGAAAAAAAAUCUCUUAAACAUCGCAAUUCAAGAUGAUGAGUUUUCUUAUUGAAGAUGGCCAUUCCUUUCUAGAGGACCAAGAACUUCGCUUUAUUGCUGGCAGCAUGAACUGCUCAUGGUAGCAUGAAAAAAACAGAGUCCUGAGUACGAAGUAGAAAAAAGGAAAGAAGUCAUGGCUCAGUUGUUUGAGCGAUUAUCUAUUGACUUGCUAUUAGAGAAGAUGAAGAUUUAGCUCAUGUUCACUCCUCUGUCUGGAAUACAAUCCUAAACUUUCCUCCAGUGCUGCUCUGGAGGCAGAGUAUCCUGGCAGAAGGCAAGUUGCGACCAUAAUCCAGAAGGCUUGGAAAUGUGGUCUUUAUUUUAAUGCAGUUCAGUGGUAGUGAAAGAUGAAAUCUGUGAAUUCUU
Molecule: long non-coding RNA, 4382 nt
Organism: Cebus imitator (Panamanian white-faced capuchin)
Lineage: Eukaryota; Metazoa; Chordata; Mammalia; Primates; Cebidae
Exons: 11
Source: RefSeq, a predicted model, not a curated record